GACCAGACUCCUACGGGAGGCAGCAGUGGGGAAUAUUGCACAAUGGGGGAAACCCUGAUGCAGCGACGCCGCGUGAGCGAUGAAGUAUUUCGGUAUGUAAAGCUCUAUCAGCAGGGAAGAAAAUGACGGUACCUGAAGAAGAAGCCCCGGCUAACUACGUGCCAGCAGCCGCGGUAAUACGUAGGGGGCAAGCGUUAUCCGGAUUUACUGGGUGUAAAGGGGGCGCAGACGGCGAUGCAAGCCAGGAGUGAAAGCCCGGGGCCCAACCCCGGGACUGCUCUUGGAACUGCGUGGCUGGAGUGCAGGAGGGGCAGGCGGAAUUCCUGGUGUAGCGGUGAAAUGCGUAGAUAUCAGGAGGAACACCGGUGGCGAAGGCGGCCUGCUGGACGAUGACUGACGUUGAGGCUCGAAAGCGUGGGGAGCAAACAGGAUUAGAUACCCUGGUAGAC
This 449-nucleotide ribosomal RNA is filed under the name uncultured bacterium. RNAcentral's name for it is "bacterial SSU rRNA". It matches the Rfam family "Bacterial small subunit ribosomal RNA", at positions 329 to 795 of the family's 1533-position model. The record is from RNAcentral.